This 1498-nucleotide ribosomal RNA is filed under the name uncultured prokaryote. RNAcentral describes it as "partial 16S ribosomal RNA". It matches the Rfam family "Bacterial small subunit ribosomal RNA". The record is from RNAcentral.
AGAGUUUGAUCCUGGCUCAGAUUGAACGCUGGCGGCAGGCUUAACACAUGCAAGUCGAGCGAGAAAAUACCCUCGGGAGGCGUCAAGUGGCGGACGGGUGAGUAACGCGUAGGAAUCUGCCCAGUAGUGGGGAACAACCAGGGGAAACCCUGGCUAAUACCGCAUACACUCUACGGAGAAAAGGAGGCCUCUUCUUGAAAUCGCGCUAUCAGAUGAGCCUGCGUUAGAUUAGCUAGUUGGUAGGGUAAAGGCCUACCAAGGCGACGAUCUCUAGCUGGUCUGAGAGGACGAUCAGCCACACUGGGACUGAGACACGGCCCAGACUCCUACGGGAGGCAGCAGUGGGGAAUAUUGGACAAUGGGCGCAAGCCUGAUCCAGCGAAUACGGCGUGUGUGAAGAAGGCCUAAGGGUUGUAAAGCACUUUCAAUAGUGACGAAAUGUCUUGUUUAAUACGCUUGGGUCUUGACUUAACCUAUGCAAGAAGCACCGGCUAACUCCGUGCCAGCAGCCGCGGUAAUACGGAGGGAGCUAGCGUUGUUCGGAAUUACUGGGCGUAAAGCGCACGUAGGUGGUUUAUUAAGUCAGAUGUGAAAGCCCCGGGCUCAACCUGGGAACUGCAUUUGAAACUGGUAAGCUAGAGUAUGGUAGAGGUAAGUGGAAUUCCAGGUGUAGCGGUGAAAUGCGUAGAUAUCUGGAGGAACAUCAGUGGCGAAGGAGAACUACUGGACCAAUACUGACACUGAGGUGCGAAAGCGUGGGGUAGCAAACAGGAUUAGAUACCCUGGUAGUCCACGCCGUAAACGAUGUCAACUAGCCGUUGGACUCCUUGAGGGUUUAGUGGCGCAGCUAACGCGAUAAGUUGACCGCCUGGGGAGUACGGUCGCAAGAUUAAAACUCAAAUGAAUUGACGGGGGCCCGCACAAGCGGUGGAGCAUGUGGUUUAAUUCGAUGCAACGCGAAGAACCUUACCUACCCUUGACAUACAGAGAACUUUCUAGAGAUAGAUUGGUGCCUUCGGGAACUCUGAUACAGGUGCUGCAUGGCUGUCGUCAGCUCGUGUCGUGAGAUGUUGGGUUAAGUCCCGUAACGAGCGCAACCCUUGUCCUUAUUUGCCAGCACGUAAUGGUGGGAACUCUAAGGAGACUGCCGGUGAUAAACCGGAGGAAGGUGGGGACGACGUCAAGUCAUCAUGGCCCUUAUGGGUAGGGCUACACACGUGCUACAAUGGCCGGUACAGAGGGCUGCAAACUUGCGAGAGUAAGCUAAUCCCUUAAAGCCGGUCCUAGUCCGGAUUGGAGUCUGCAACUCGACUCCAUGAAGCUGGAAUCGCUAGUAAUCGCGGAUCAGAAUGCCGCGGUGAAUUCGUUCCCGGGCCUUGUACACACCGCCCGUCACACCAUGGGAGUGGGUUGCAAAAGAAGUGGGUAGGCUAACCUUCGGGAGGCCGCUCACCACUUUGUGAUUCAUGACUGGGGUGAAGUCGUAACAAGGUAGCCA